AGCAGCCGCGGUAAUACGGAGGGUGCAAGCGUUAUCCGGAUUUAUUGGGUUUAAAGGGUCCGUAGGCGGAUCUGUAAGUCAGUGGUGAAAUCUCACAGCUCAACUGUGAAACUGCCAUUGAUACUGCAGNUCUUGAGUAAGGUAGAAGUGGCUGGAAUAAGUAGUGUAGCGGUGAAAUGCAUAGAUAUUACUUAGAACACCAAUUGCGAAGGCAGGUCACUAUGUCUUAACUGACGCUGAUGGACGAAAGCGUGGGGAGCGAACAGGAUUAGAUACCCUGGUAGUCCACGCCGUAAACGAUGCUAACUCGUUUUUGGGGCUUUAUGCUUCAGAGACUAAGCGAAAGUGAUAAGUUAGCCACCUGGGGAGUACGUUCGCAAGAAUGAAACUCAAAGGAAUUGACGGGGGCCCGCACAAGCGGUGGAUUAUGUGGUUUAAUUCGAUGAUACGCGAGGAACCUUACCAAGGCUUAAAUGGGAAUUGAUCGGUUUAGAAAUAGACCUUCCUUCGGGCAAUUUUCAAGGUGCUGCAUGGUUGUCGUCAGCUCGUGCCGUGAGGUGUUAGGUUAAGUCCUGCAACGAGCGCAACCCCUGUCACUAGUUGCCAUCAUUAAGUUGGGGACUCUAGUGAGACUGCCUACGCAAGUAGAGAGGAAGGUGGGGAUGACGUCAAAUCAUCACGGCCCUUACGCCUUGGGCCACACACGUAAUACAAUGGCCGGUACAGAGGGCAGCUACACAGCGAUGUGAUGCAAAUCUCGAAAGCCGGUCUCAGUUCGGAUUGGAGUCUGCAACUCGACUCUAUGAAGCUGGAAUCGCUAGUAAUCGCGCAUCAGCCAUGGCGCGGUGAAUACGUUCCCGGGCCUUGUACACACCGCCCGUCAAGCCAUGGAAGUCUGGGGUACCUGAAGUCGGUGACCGUAACAGGAGCUGCCUAGGGUAAAACAGGUAACUAGGGCUAAGUCGUAACAAGGUAAC
RNAcentral lists this ribosomal RNA (977 nucleotides) under uncultured bacterium. RNAcentral's name for it is "bacterial SSU rRNA". It matches the Rfam family "Bacterial small subunit ribosomal RNA", at positions 510 to 1500 of the family's 1533-position model. The record is from RNAcentral.